AAUAAUAAUACCCUGUCGUCCCAGGAUAAUAUUGAGGAAUCCGCGCAGAUUAUUUUGGGGCGACCAUUUAAUCUCAGGAUGCUGAAGAAAUUCAGCAUGUCCCGAGGGCCCUCACAGUGUUCUACAGGAGCACCAUUGAGAGCAAACUGUCUGGCUGCAACUCCACCACCAGGGAACACAAGGCGCUACAGUGGGUGGUACACUCAGCCUGCCCUCCAGGACACCUACACCAAGUGUUGCAGGAAGGCCAAGAAGAUCCUCAGGGACCCCAGCCACCCGAGCUAUGGCCUGUUCUCCCUGUCUCCAUCACUCAGACGAGGGCAGAAUAUGAGCAUCAUGGCAAAAACUGUAAGACUGGCCAAUAGCUUCUACCCCCAGACCUUCAGGCUGCUGAAUAGCCACCACUAAAUCAGCUAUCUUCUCCCCAUUUCACUGUACCCUGUAAUUACAUCUGCAACCCUGUACAUGUGACUAUUAAACUAAUCUAAAAUAUAAUAUAAUCAUGACUAAUCAUGGCUGUGGUAAGUAGUGGAAGCCCUGCUAGUCUGGCUACUGCUGCAUUCAAAACAACUGCGAACUAGGAAAUCUCUGACUUCCGAGCUUUCAAGACAACUGGGAACUCGGAACGGUCAUCCAACUCGGAAUUCCAAGUCGGACACUCAACAUCUUUCUAGGACUCCGACCUGAAGAUCACUGAUGUCAUGAUUUGACCUCGUUUUAAGUAAUGUGGGUCACAUUAGCCAGGCCCAAAAUCCCCACCACACAGAAUACUCCUAGAUUCAAAUAAAUAUCUGAAACUGGCA
Non-coding RNA from Salmo salar (Atlantic salmon), 803 nucleotides. Lineage: Eukaryota; Metazoa; Chordata; Actinopteri; Salmoniformes; Salmonidae. The record is from RefSeq and is a predicted model, not a curated record.